RNAcentral lists this ribosomal RNA (270 nucleotides) under uncultured archaeon. RNAcentral's name for it is "partial 16S ribosomal RNA". It matches the Rfam family "Archaeal small subunit ribosomal RNA", at positions 477 to 747 of the family's 1478-position model. The record is from RNAcentral.
CAGCUCUCCGAGUAGUGUGGACGUUUAUUGGGCCUAAAGCAUCCGUAGCUUGCUAGAUAAGUCCUCUGUUAAAUCCACCGAUUCAAUCGUUGGAUUGCGGGGGAUACUGUUUGGCUAGGGGACGGGGGAGGUCGACGGUAUUUCCGGGGUAGGGGUGAAAUCCUAUAAUCCCGGGAGGACCACCAGUGGCGAAGGCUGUCGACUAGAACGCGCCCGACGGUGAGGGAUGAAAGCUGGGGGAGCGAACCGGAUUAGAUACCCGCGUAGUCC